RNAcentral lists this ribosomal RNA (434 nucleotides) under uncultured Clostridiales Family XIV bacterium. RNAcentral's name for it is "bacterial SSU rRNA". It matches the Rfam family "Bacterial small subunit ribosomal RNA", at positions 341 to 792 of the family's 1533-position model. Lineage: Bacteria; Bacillati; Bacillota; Clostridia; Eubacteriales; Clostridiales Family XIV. Incertae Sedis. The record is from RNAcentral.
ACGGAAGGCAGCAGUGGGGAAUAUUGGACAAUGGGGGAAACCCUGAUCCAGCGACGCCGCGUGAGUGAAGAAGUAUUUCGGUAUGUAAAGCUCUAUCAGCAAGGAAGAAAAUGACGGUACUUGACUAAGAAGCCCCGGCUAACUACGUGCCAGCAGCCGCGGUAAUACGUAGGGGGCAAGCGUUAUUCGGAUUUACUGGCUGUAAAGGGAGCGUAGACGGCAAAGCAAGUCUGAAGUGAAAUCCCGGGGCUCAACCCUGGAACUGCUUUGGAAACUGUUUAGCUAGAGUGCAGGAGAGGUAAGUGGAAUUCCUAGUGUAGCGGUGAAAUGCGUAGAUAUUGGGAGGAACACCAGUGGCGAAGGCGGCUUUCUGGACUGUAACUGACACUGAGGCUCGAAAGCGUGGGGAGCAAACAGGAUUAGAUACCCUGGUA